GACGAACGCUGGCGGCGUGCUUAACACAUGCAAGUCGAACGGAGAGGACCUGCUAAGGUGGUCGGCUCAAGGGGCGAAAGGGUGAGUAACGCGUGAGUAAGUUGCCCGUGACCAUGGUAUAACUUCGGGAAACUGGAGCGAAUACCGGAUAGGAGCAUACGCUGUAUGGUCAGGCUGCGAAAGGUUCGGCGGUUAGGAAUGGACUGGCGUCUGAUCAGCUUGUGGGUGGGGAAGUGGCUUACCAAGGCUUUGCCUGGUAGCCGGCCUGAGAGGGUGAGAGGCCACGUUGGAGCUGAGCUGCGGCCCAGCCCACACCGGGAGGCAGCAGUGGGGAAUGUUGCACUGUGGACUGAAGCCUGCUGCAGUGACGCCGCGUGGGGUAUGACAGCAAUCGGGUUGUUAUGCGCUUUCGUCUGUGACGAAGAGUGAGUGACGGUAAUGGAUAAAGAAGCACCGGCUAACUACGUG
This 468-nucleotide ribosomal RNA is filed under the name uncultured bacterium. Its description in RNAcentral is "partial 16S ribosomal RNA". It matches the Rfam family "Bacterial small subunit ribosomal RNA", at positions 28 to 507 of the family's 1533-position model. The record is from RNAcentral.